RNAcentral lists this transfer RNA (72 nucleotides) under Salmo salar (Atlantic salmon). It matches the Rfam family "tRNA". Rfam says of the family: Transfer RNA (tRNA) molecules are approximately 80 nucleotides in length. Their secondary structure includes four short double-helical elements and three loops (D, anti-codon, and T loops). Lineage: Eukaryota; Metazoa; Chordata; Actinopteri; Salmoniformes; Salmonidae. The record is from Rfam by way of RNAcentral.
CUCCCUGUGGCUCAGUUGGUAGAGCAUGGUGUUUGCAACACUAGGGUUGUGGGUUUGAUUCCCACGGGGGGC